Molecule: ribosomal RNA, 444 nt
Filed under: uncultured bacterium
Lineage: Bacteria
Description: partial 16S ribosomal RNA
Rfam family: Bacterial small subunit ribosomal RNA
Source: RNAcentral
CCUACGGGAGGCAGCAGUGGGGAAUAUUUGGCAAUGGAGGAAACUCUGACCCAGCAAUGCCGCGUGAGUGAAGAAGGUCUUCGGAUUGUAAAGUUCUUUAGUCAGGGAAGAAGUCAAUGACGGUACCUGAAGAAUAAGCUCCGACUAACUACGUGCCAGCAGCCGCGGUAAUACGUAGGGAGGAAGAGUUGUUCUGAAUGACUGGGCGUAAGGGGUGCGUAGGCGGUUGUAGAAGUUAGAAGGGAAAUACCCAGGGCUUAACUCGGGGGCUGGUCCUAAAACUGUAUGACUGGAGUGCAGUAGAGGUUAGUGGAAUUCCUAGUGUAGCGGUGGAAUGCGUAGAUAUUAGGAGGAACACCAGAGGCGAAGGCGGCUAACUGGACUGCAACUGACGCUGAGGCACGAAAGUGUGGGGAGCAAACAGGAUUAGAUACCCCUGUAGUC